RNAcentral lists this ribosomal RNA (272 nucleotides) under uncultured Syntrophus sp. RNAcentral's name for it is "partial 16S ribosomal RNA". It matches the Rfam family "Bacterial small subunit ribosomal RNA", at positions 1113 to 1382 of the family's 1533-position model. The record is from RNAcentral. Lineage: Bacteria; Pseudomonadati; Thermodesulfobacteriota; Syntrophia; Syntrophales; Syntrophaceae.
AAUUGCCAUCAUUCAGUUGGGCACUUUAAAGAGACUGCCGGUGUUAAAACCCGGAGGAAGGUGGGGAUGACGUCAAGUCCUCAUGGCCUUUAUGCCCAGGGCUACACACGUGCUACAAUGGGUGGUACAAAGAGAUGCAAUCUCGCAAGAGCAAGCAAACCUCAAAAAAGCCAUCCUCAGUUCGGAUUGGAGUCCGCAACUCGACUCCAUGAAGUCGGAAUCGCUAGUAAUCGCGGAUCAGCACGCCGCGGUCGAAUACGUUCCCGGGCCUU